Long non-coding RNA from Anolis carolinensis (green anole), 4286 nucleotides. RefSeq lists it as uncharacterized. The transcript has 3 exons. The record is from RefSeq and is a predicted model, not a curated record. NCBI's taxonomy places the organism in Eukaryota, Metazoa, Chordata, Lepidosauria, Squamata, Anolidae.
UCCACAGUUUUAACAGUUCGUACAGUCAGGAAGUUCUUCCUAAUGUUCAGGUGGAAUUGAAUCCACCUUUGAAUCCAAAUUGUUUUUAUUUUUAAAUAUUGUAUUGUUUUUUUAUUUACUAAUAUUGUGCUAUGUAAUAAUGUGUACCUAUAUACAUAUAAUAUUGAUAAUAAUAUUAUAAUGUAAUACAAUAUAAUACUAAUAAUAAUACAAUAUAAUAAUAUUAAUUAUAUAUUAAAUGUAAUAUUAUUAAUAUUACAGUAUAGUGGUAUAGUACAAUAUAGUAAUAUAUAAUGCUAAUAUUGUGCUAUGCUAAUAAUAUAAUAUAUUGUAUGUACAUACAACUUGUAAACUGCCCUGAGCCCCCUUCGGGAUGAGAGUGAGUGGGGUAUAAAUGUAGUAAACAAACAAACAAACAAAUAAUUGUUUUGGGGGUUUUUUUGCACUACAAAUAAGACAUGUGCAGUGUGCAUAGGAAUGUGUGCGUUUUUUUUCAAGUGAUAAUUCGGCCCCUCAACAAUCUGAGGAACCAUGAACCGGCCCUCCACUUAAAAACUUUGAGGACCCCUGGUCUAAGUUCUAGUUUCCAUGAGAGCCUUUCAAACAUAGCUCUCAUGUCCCCUCUCAACCUUCUCUUCUGCAAGCUAAACAGACCCAGCUCUUCAAGCAUGAUUGUGUUCUUUUGCUUUUUGCAUUUCGGACCACUAGGUGUUGCUGUUAGAAUACAAGCUUUUUGUAACAGGGAGGAAGAUGAAAUUUCUCUCACCAUCUUCUAGAAUCAUCAGAUUUCUUUUCCUCAAGAAGAGGAUUUAAUGCUCCUUUCAAAACUGUAUAGCGGUUCCAAGGCCACUUUUCCCAUUAAGCAGAAUGAAGUGAUCACUUCUGAGAGAUUAUCUGGGGUUGUUUAAUGUAUUACUGUGUUUUUAUUUUCUUGUGGUGGGGAUGGGCAGGUCACCAUUUGACCCUGUCUCAGCAGAAACAACAAAGAAUUAUAUGAACUUUCGUGACAUUUCAUAUUUGUGACACACUUUUUUAGAUAUUCAUCAUUUUGCAACACAGUAAUUCAGUUUCACUAGCAAAAUGAUAGUUAAACCAAUGCCUUAUAAGAGAUUUAGACACAUACGGAAAUUGUAGCAACAACAUUAUGGGAACACAAUAAUUAAUUUAUAAUUUUAAAUAUAUACAAUGUAUUACUUAUUUCAAAUAGACAGAGAGGUUUCCCGUUAUGUUCAUUCAACAGACUGUAGUUGACACACUAACCCAAAACCUUCCAAACUGUGCGUCACAAGACAUUAGUGUGUUGGGUGUUGGUGUGCCACACAAAUGUAAAGAGAAAUAACAAAAAUCUUGGAAAUGUAUGUUAUCUUUAAAAUCAUAUAUUUUAAAAUAUAUAAAUGAUUUUUUAUGAGAUAUGAUGUGUCCCCCUAUAUUUUGUUAUUACAAUUUGUGUAUGUGUCCCUAUCUAUAUAUAUAUAAAAGAGUGAUGGCAUCACGACAAUUCACAAAACAACAAAACUACAGGCCCCCCAACCUCUAAAUUUGACAACACAACCCAUCAUCCACGCCUCUAGGUUGAUACAACAAAAAGAAAAGAAAAAUAAAGUCCUAAUUAGAGAGAGAGGAAUAAUUGCUUUUAUCCAAUUGCUGCCAGUUAGAAGGCUAAGCUCCUCCAACUUGGUCUCCUAGCAACCCAAUAAAAAAUAAAAAACACUAAAAAAUAAUUAAAAACCCCCAAAAAUUAAUACAAUAAAAUACUAUAACAGAAAAUAACUAAAAAUACAAGAAAAUAAUAAAAUAUAAUAAAAAGAUAACUUACAAUAAAAUUUAUUUUAAAAAAUACAAAUAACGUCAAAUAAAAAUGACACAAUUUUUAACCAAUACCACCACCACUUUGCCACAGCAACGCGUGGCCAGGCACAGCUAGUGUUUUAUAAGGGGCUGGUUUAACACCUCUGGUUUCCUAGUAACACUUUUUUUUUUUUCGUGUCAGGAGCAACUUGAGUUGCUUCUGGAGUGAGAGAAUUGGCCGUCUGCAAGGACGUUGCCCAGGGGACGCCUGGAUGUUUUGAUGUUUUUACCAUCCUUGUGGGAGGCUUCUCUCAUGUCCCCGCAUGGAGCUGGAGCUGAAAGAGGGAGCUCAUCCGCACUCUCCCCGGGUGGGAUUCGAACCUGGCAGCUUUCAGGUCAGCAACCCAACCUUCAAGUCACUUAGUCCACUACGCCAUCUGGGGGCUGAAGUACUGUGUUGAGAAAUUACAAGUGCCUAAAAAGUGUCACCAACAUCAAAUGUUUGGAAAGCGCUGUGUUAACAUGUUGCAACACACAGUUUGGAGAGCUCUAGGUUAAUGAAUUCAGCUUCUCAUAUUGGAAAACAGGCUAUAGUCAAUAGUAGAGAGGGGACAUACACUUUUGGGGUUUUCUGACUUUUGAAGCAUUUUUUUUUGUCUAUUUCACUUGGGGAUAUGAGCUGAUAUUUGUUUCUCAGCUUCAGGCAGGAAAAUUUCUCAAGCUAGACUUUCAGUGGUCACCUUCCUCAGUACAGGUUGAGCUCCCCUAUCCAGAUUUUCAGAAUCCGAAAUACUCCAACACCUCAAACUCUUUGUCAUUAGUUGCCUAUUUCUCCCUUAGAGGAAAGAGGACUAGUCACACAUUUAGCACCCUGUUUUUUUCCUUAAGAAGCUGCAAAGCAUGUUUCUGGGAAUGUUGUGGACGGGAUUUGGGACAGGGAAGUUUAGUUUUAGAUGUAAUUUUAAUAGUAAUUUUAUUGUAUCUUAACUGUAUUUUAAUUUUGUAGUAAUCACACAAAUAUUUGUUUUUUUAUUUUUUGUAUUUGCUUUGUUUUUAAAUUUUAUUGAGUUUUAUCAUGUUAUUGUUAGCCCCUAUGGGGAGAAAGGCAGGAUAGAAAUAAAGAGAAGGCAAAGGAGGAGGACGACAACGACAACAGGGAGAAGAAGAGAAAGAAGGGAAAGACUCCACUUAUACAAGACCUUUGCAAAAAGCAGAUGUUACAGACGCUGUGCUCACCUUCUGCAAGGAAAUGCAGAGUGUUCCUUUUCACUACUACAAGUAUCCAGCUGAGAGAUACUGAAACAUACUCAUACUAAUCUCAGUUGGCAUCAAAUUGAGGUCAAAGUGCAGAGGUAAUUUGUACUCAGCUCAGAAUGUUGCCUUCUCCAGUGGGCUCUGAAAUGUAGGAAUCAUCCGUCGGCUGGACCAGACUCUUUGUCAUACUCUGUAUUGUCCAUUCCCAGUAUGGUGUUGGUUUUCAGGGGCCUCAAGAUAAGUAAGAAAAGUGCAGUCAUUGACCAGUUCUGUGAGAUAUCUGCUACUACUGCCUUGUUUUGGAUUCUCUCUUUGCAUAUGUUCCAGAUAUAGAGGCAAAGUGGGCUAACGUUUAACAUUCCCAAGGGAGAAAGGCAAACCUGGCUCUUUGCUUUCAAUUCAAAAUGAAGAUGAGAUGUAUAUCUGUAAUCAAUGGGGAGUUAAUUACAUUGAUGGUAUGCCUGCAGUGUAAAUAACACCUGCUGUCUCAGCUAGUGAAUACUAUGGAUAAUAACCACAACAAUAUCUUUAUACAGUCACAUAUUCCAAGUAGCAUGGGCAUAGUAUGGGCUCAACACACCUGAACCCCUCUCUCAGUCUCCAUCUCCCCUCUACUUACAUUGUGUCCUGUAAUACUUACUUGCACUGCAUAUGGAUACCCAACAGUCUCCUUUUCUUUCAAAGAAAGAGACAGACAGCUAUUCUAAUUCUAAUUAGACAGACAUUAUUUACUGGAGUAAAUAAUACUUUAACACACAAAGGCUCUUCCCAGAAGGUUGUUGACUUUGUGUAAUUUCUGUUAAAGUGGUCAGGUACCACUCAGAGGAGCAGGUGAUAGACAGAUAAGAUUAGAUUUUUAAAAGCCAAGAUCAAGUGGCCAUCUUCUGUUACUGGCUUCCAGACAGCUGAGAUACAGCUCAGAUACAAUGAUGAUGUGGACCCCGGAAAGGUUUACAACUGACAUUUGUCAUUGAGAAGCCACUGAAUAAACCAUCUUCUCCUUACAGGAUAGUGUACUACAGAUGCUGAAAUAUCAGCUAUCAUCUUUUGACUGUGUUUCCUGCUACACGUGAUCCCCAUCUCUCAAGAUCUGGUAACUUCCCACUAUUCACUAUCAUCUUCAUAUAUCUUGAGAAGAGUAAACAGAUCUACAUUGUAAUAGGAGUACAAAUAAUCUUAGUUCUUUGCUCAUGAAAAUAAAUUUCUGUUAUUCUUUAGGAAUAAAGAUAUACUUUUAUACACAA